Molecule: long non-coding RNA, 2557 nt
Filed under: Gallus gallus (chicken)
Lineage: Eukaryota; Metazoa; Chordata; Aves; Galliformes; Phasianidae
Description: long non-coding RNA NONGGAT006490
Source: RNAcentral
CAGAGGCAAAGGCUUUUUCCCUUCUAGGGAGAAAGUGGAGAAAAAUGUAAUGAAGUUAAUGACGGCACAUUGUGUGCAACCAAGAGGAAAGUGAAUCAGAUUGCUUUUCAGUUAUAUCCUGCAAGCACUCUUUAAAAAUCAGAUUUCCCCCUUUCAUUCUGCAUUUAGCCCUAAAGAUAAUGUAGAAACUGCUCAGAGAUUGCAGACUGUUCGGGGUCAGGAGACGUUAUUCCUGUCUCUACUCCUUUGACUAUGACAAAAAUCAAUCCAUUUUACCAUAGCCUACAUAUAAAAAGAAGUGAACCCAAAGUACAGAACUUUGUAUCAACAGCGUCUUUGUCAUGAUAAUGAGCCUCACUGAACAUUUUUCAUCUCCAUAAAGCGCUUCCUUUGGAUUAGGCUUCUUUGUACACGGGGUGACAGUGGUGUAGCAACAGAACAGCGCAUGCUGUUCUCUGCCCAAUCCGCUUUGCUGCACAGCACAGACAGCACUCAGCUGCGCAGGCAGGAGUUGCAAACACCACGGAUCGCGGAGAUGAGCCACCCUUCAGUAAACAGAAGUGUUUUGUCACAGUCCUGUAUUGAAACGGCACACCUCACUGAGCUGAUGAGAUGCAGAGCCCUGCUGAGAACCUCAGCAACCAGCCCCUACCCACAGCCCUCGGGAGCCCUGGUGGAGGCAGGCAGUGCUCAAGCACACGGCCCCUGCAGAUGUCCUCCAGGAAAAGGCAGCAGAGAAGCAUUCCCCGGUCCAGUUUUUGGAUCACACAGACACAAAGGCACUUGCUGAUGUUCUCACUAGGCAACGGCAGCAUCUGCCACUGAUGAGCAAAGCCACCGCUAGGACGGCAAGGAGGUCUCUGAGCAGAUAAGGAAUCCUUUCCCAGUACAGAGCAGCCACGUGAGAUUAUCAGGAGAACUGGCUUCUAUUUUCUUUCCAAAGCACCCGAGGUACUGCCGCAGGCAGGCUGCAGCUGCCGGGCAGCAGGGAGGAGCACUCCGGCUCUCAAAGUACCGCCAGUAGCAGUCGUACAAGCACAGCUGUAACCUCUUGUGAGGACACGAGCACUCAUCAUCCCGCCUUCUGCCAAACCUUACUCAGUCUCUUGUUUAGCACAUGCAGUGCUGAGGAAAGCUCUUUCAUCUAUGCCUGUUCCCACACCUUGGCAUCCCCUUUAUGCCCUCCCGCACAUAACCAGGCCAGGAGCAAAGCAGCUUCGCAGCAAUGAGACCAAUAACCCCGGAGGAGAUGGUGAAAGUAAGCAUUCUGCUCUUAGUGCAAAGACAAAGCACUGAGACGUGCUGCUUUGGCCAAUACACGUACUAAUAUACAACCACACGUGCCGGGAAGCCCAUUUCCUUUUGGACCAAAAUGUGAGAUUCCCCAAACAAAGUUAUCCUGACUCUCCCAUACCUCUGAUGCAGCACAAAACAUCGCAGCCCUGACACAGGGAAGGGAAGGAUUAGCCAUGGAGCAGACAUCUAUCCAGGACAUCAUGUUUGUAAGACUUUGCCUUUCCCAAAAGGCCAGCGGGUCCAGGACCUCCUGCUUCUGGCCCUGCAAAAGCAUCCUUUUGACAACAUCCCAUAGAGAGUCUAAGCUAACACUUCAGCAAGUCUCAUUCAUCCAUCCAGGAAGAAAACUCGGCAUUAAGCAUUCAGGGGAAGGAACUUUUGAGCUUCCCAGGAAGUUACAAGGAAGUGAGUUACUCAUUGUGUUGCCUGCAACACUGCGUGAAGCUUUGCCAAAUCUUCCAAACACAGCUGUUUCGAGGGACGUGCUACAGAUCGGUUAGGAAAGAUGUAAUUACAGCAGAGCCCAUACAACACAUUAUUGACAAUAAAUUAGACUAGCGCUGCCUACAGGCACGGGACUUUGCUGAUGCUCACUCUCUUGUCAAAUCACGUUCAGGGCCCUCAGCAAAAGAGGAGAAAUCUCUGCUUCAUGUCUGGAAAAUGGUAAGAACUUGAGAAAGAAAAAAGUACGUGACAGAUUAAGUUGGUAUCAAGAAUGCAAACACAUGGAGGCAGUGAAAAACUACUAAGGUAAAAUUCCAAUUCUGCUGGCACUAACUUCCAAAGAAAAUUACAUGUCUGAUAGUUCUCCACAGAACCAACAGAAAGGUUGCUUUACUUAAGAGAAAGUCUUAAAGCAUGGUUGCAUUUGUACCCCCGAAUGAUAGAAAACAGCACAGAAACCAAACCAAACCUCCUCACUUGGAGACCUGAAUUUCCAAGGGAAGAAGUACACAAACGUCCAUCUCAGAAAGCUCAGGGAGAACUCAUAACUCUCAGCAAGGAGCUACAGAACGGAGGCAGGAGGAAGAGGCGGCUGGAACGGGCUGUGGCAGCCACCCUGCCCUGCCACCACCCGCCUGCAGCUGCUCAACCAACGCCUCCCCCCCAGGGUUACUUUCAGUGGACUCAAAGCAGUUCUCCCAAGAGAGCUCAGCUACACUCGGCUGAAGAUAAGGCACUCUCGCGGCUCAUCAGCUUCUUCAGCACCAUCACUGUGGUCUUAAAACAACCGUGGGACUGGAGCCAGGCCAUAGCAGCA